This 492-nucleotide ribosomal RNA is filed under the name uncultured bacterium. RNAcentral describes it as "partial 16S ribosomal RNA". It matches the Rfam family "Bacterial small subunit ribosomal RNA", at positions 29 to 507 of the family's 1533-position model. The record is from RNAcentral.
AGUGAACGCUGGCGGUAGGCCUAACACAUGCAAGUCGAACGGCAGCACAGUAAGAGCUUGCUCUUACGGGUGGCGAGUGGCGGACGGGUGAGGAAUACAUCGGAAUCUACUUUUUCGUGGGGGAUAACGUAGGGAAACUUACGCUAAUACCGCAUACGUCCUACGGGUGAAAGCAGGGGAUCUUCGGACCUUGCGCGAUUGAAUGAGCCGAUGUCGGAUUAGCUAGUUGGCGGGGUAAAGGCCCACCAAGGCGACGAUCCGUAGCUGGUCUGAGAGGAUGAGCAGCCACACUGUAACUGAGACACGGUCCAGACUCCGACGGGAGGCAGCAGUGGGGAAUAUUGGACAAUGGGCGCAAGCCUGAUCCAGCCAUACCGCGUGGGUGAAGAAGGCCUUCGGGUUGUAAAGCCCUUUUGUUGGGAAAGAAAAGCAGCAGGUUAAUACCCCGCUGUUCUGACGGUACCCAAAGAAUAAGCAUCGGCUAACUUCGUG